Molecule: long non-coding RNA, 663 nt
Filed under: Numida meleagris (helmeted guineafowl)
Lineage: Eukaryota; Metazoa; Chordata; Aves; Galliformes; Numididae
Description: lncRNA (ENSNMEG00000018500.1)
Source: RNAcentral
UCCAGAAGGCUUCACAGCAAGCAGGAGAAGUCUUGCUCCUUGUCACUGUGAUGAGAGAUACAGGAAGCAGCUAUCCUGUUGCAUUAGAGCUUUUUGAAAAAGUUUUAAGUUCCCCAUCAGCUUUUAACAUCAAUCAACAAAUUCAUUCUUUCCCAGAUGAAUAAUGAACCCCUGAUCACUGUCAGGGUAAGUACCUAGAACAGGUAAAUUAAAAUGGUAACACAAUUAACCUAAUUUUUUCCAUGUGUAUAGCUCUAUCAGUUCUGCCCUAGGGCAGGAGCUCAAGCUGUCUGAUAUCCACUUGUUAUGUAAGGAGACCCUUCCAGACCCUGGCCUUCCCUACCUGUGUGUGUGACAGCUCUGUGUGUUAAGCUUGUAAUUCAGAAAGAUGAUCCCUUUUUUUCCAUACAGCCAGAAUUAUGGGCUUGACAUCACAAUGAAGAUAAUAAGAACUGACUGUCCUAAAUUGGACUUGUAUUCUUAGUGCUUUUUUGGCAACAUCAUUCCCAUCCCACAGAAAGAGACUACAUUCCAUUUCUGGUUACUCAGCGUCAGUAUUGGGGAGGAUGUGUCCCAAGUGCAGCGGCCUCCCAGACAUCUACAGUGAUGCAAUGAUGAACACAACUGUCUGGACACUCUCUCCCCAGUAAUCCCUGUGCCCUG